Hibiscus syriacus is the source of this 1958-nucleotide RNA transcript. RefSeq lists it as uncharacterized. NCBI's taxonomy places the organism in Eukaryota, Viridiplantae, Streptophyta, Magnoliopsida, Malvales, Malvaceae. The transcript has 3 exons. The record is from RefSeq and is a predicted model, not a curated record.
UCAGAUUUUAAACUCGUUUCAAAUCUCGCACGUGUUACAUUGACCUUCAUGACUCCAAAAGAAGGCUAAAAAGAACUUGAUUGCUUCAUGCCCUAAAUCUCUUUUCUUUCUACUUUCUCAUCCACUGAUUAAUUUUUCCCUGUAAUUCAAAACAACUGAAUUCAGUCUCAUAGUUCGUUAUUUCAGUUUUAGACUUUGGUUGAUAGUGAUGAACUCGGAAACCCAAAUGCCUGCCAGUCAUAAAAUUUGUAGAGUAGAUACUUUAGAGCUGAAAUCCCAGAUUGUAAGGAAGAUCGGGCGCAUAAAAGCCGAGAAGUACUUCAAUCUGCUCACAAGAUUUUUGAGCCUUAAGAUUUGCAAACCUGAGUUUGAUAAGCUUUGCAUCGGUACAAUUGGGAGAGAAAAUGUCCGUCUUCAUAAUAAUCUCCUCAGAUCAAUUAUUAGAAAUGCUUCAGUUUCAAAGACUCCUCCACCGAUAGCGAACAAUUUGGAAGGUUCUUUAAGUGUUAAAGUGUUAAAUGGGUAUCAAAGAAGUAAUCUUCAGUCACUGUGCAAAGACUUUCCUCAAUCCUCUCGUAAGAGUAGGACUCCAAAUCUUCACGAUCGCAAGUUAAGGGACCGCCCAAGACCUUUAGGGCCUCAUGGGAAGAGCCAUAACACUGCUUGCGAAGAUGCAGUUCGUAAAGUACAAGAACAACAGAGUGCUACCGAGUUGCUUUCUUUGGGUAGCAGACCGCCGGGAUCCGUUGAGGAUGGAGAAGAAGUCGAUCAAGCUACGGGAAGUCCAAGCAUUUACAGUAGGAUUCCUGUGAGUGCUCCGCUUGGCAUCACUUUGAAUGCUAAAGGAAUGCGUAAGGUACCAUGGAAUGGAUCGGCAUCUGAUACCGAGACUUGUUAUUUUCGGGGUGAACUACCUGAUACUGGUUCUUUGAGGGAAAGGUUGGAAAAGAAGUUGGAGAUGGAAGGAUUGAAUAUCUCAGUAGAUUGUCCAGAUUUGUUGAACAAUAGCCUUGAUGUUUACAUGAAGAGAUUGAUAAAACCUUGUUUGGAACUGGCUGGUACGAGGUCCAGGCAAAAACUUAUUGACCGGGGCCAGAAUCUGUCCAUGGACUAUUUGGAUGGGAUGCAGCCUAUGAGGUAUGCACCGAAUCAAAGAGGCCCUGUUUCUGCAUCAAUGUUAGACUUUCAAGUUGCGAUGGAGAUGAAUCCCCUGAUUCUCGGAGUAGACUGGCCAACACAACUCGAGAAGGUGUGCCUGCUUGCUUCAGAAGAGUGAGAACCAAAACUAAUUGGCUUCAUGAUUCGAGUUAAACUGGAUUCCAGCCAGAGCAAUUUUGAGUUAUUUCGAUUUUGACGUUCACACUAACAUUGGUCUCGAGCAUAUCAUUUUUAUAUAAUAAAUGAAGUAAACAAGUAAAAAGGUUACUAGAGUUUCGGAUAAAGCUGCUUAUAUUGUAAAUAUGUCAUGGCUUUGAAUUAUCCUGGAGGAGUGAUGUCUCAACUAGGUGAAAUCCAAUGAUAUUGACACUUACACUAGCAACUAUUUCCACCUGAUAUCUAUAGCUUUGUUCCAGGUAACACCUGUUUUCAUAAUAAUAGAGCAUAUCUUCGGUUUUUCUGGCCUGGCCCGCUGUUGUUGAAUUUGUCCUGUGAAAGCUACUUGUUCCUUUCAUGGAUCUUAUUGGCCAGUUCUUGAUUUGGAUGACGAUUCUGCUGAAAUACGGAGAUGAUUGAAACUGUACCGAUACUUGAUCGUUUCCGAGUAGUUAGUUUCUUGCGGAAUCUGAAUUGGAUCAGAUAUAGAGAAAUAUGGAACCUAUUAUUGCAGUGAUAUGGAAGAUCAUAGUGCAACUAAUGUUUGAUUGAUUUGUUCAGUUGAAUUUGUUACUUUUUUUUCCUUGUAAUGUUAGGCAUGUUCUUGUUUGGAUCAUAAACAUGGACAUGCUAGAAAAUGAAUU